Nymphalis io (European peacock) is the source of this 439-nucleotide long non-coding RNA. RefSeq lists it as uncharacterized. The transcript has 2 exons. The record is from RefSeq and is a predicted model, not a curated record. Lineage: Eukaryota; Metazoa; Arthropoda; Insecta; Lepidoptera; Nymphalidae.
GGGAAUUUAAACAUUAAAUAAGUACUUUUUAUUUAGAACAUCAACUGCAUUUACAUCUUUCAAUAUGUAUAAGCUUAUGAUUCUGGUGAUGGCUGCAAGCUGCAUUGUGGCUGAUAAUCGUAGGCGUUUAGCACCAUCAACAACGACAACGACAACAGAAAAAUUUAUUGAAGUUUCCAGUGAGAAAUGUGAUAUAUUGAAGAAUGAUCACUGUGGCAGCGUACCCUCUGCUAAAGGCCCCGGUUUUCCAGCCGUCGUCACUGGAGGCCUAGGUGUCGCCCAUCAUAAGUCUAGUGGCUAAAUGAAGACUUGUUUCCAUUUUCAAAUAAAAACCGAUACAAUAAAAUUUCCGAUUAAAAUGUUAAUAUUAUUACAACAAUUUAGUUUAAUUGUACGAAGUUUUGUCCGAUACGGAUUAAAAGUUGGUGAUAAUAUUGGU